This is a non-coding RNA of Oryctolagus cuniculus (rabbit), 782 nucleotides long. The record is from RefSeq and is a predicted model, not a curated record. Lineage: Eukaryota; Metazoa; Chordata; Mammalia; Lagomorpha; Leporidae.
CACCUGCGGCCUUAUUGGAUCUUUCCAGCCGAGGCCAGCUCUUAAGCAGGGAAACCUCAGCAGCUGCAGUCUGCUUAGAGGUGACUGGAAUUUGGAUGGUUCAUGUAUGGCUGCGGCACUCAAAGUGGGACUGCAAUGCAGGUAAUCAUUAGCAAUUUAGUGCCUGUGAAACACUGAGAGGACAAUCAAUCUGGUGGACAAAACUCAGAAAACAUCCUGUAGCAGAUCCAUACCAGCCCACAAAAAAUCUAUACACUCCCAGCUCCUUGCUCAACUCUAAACAUCUCUGUCUGACUUAACAUUUUUAUGGUUCCCAGAUGCUGUUGCCACUAAUCCAGUACUGAGUAGAUAAGCACAUCACAGAAACCCAUCUGCAACUAAGACAUUCUUGUUAAGAAGAAUCAUUGUUUUUGAAAAUUUCAUUGAUGUCGCAAUUUCAGACAAAAUUUAUAACACAGCAAGAUUAGAAUUUGACAAAAACAAAUGCAGAACUGCUUCCAGAAAAUAUAAAGAACAAGUCUUAAAUUAAAGAUGAUAGAUGUCUGCUUUGAUUCCAUAUCUUAGAGGAAAAAAUUGAGAAAAUUCUGCAAGAAAUUGAUGUAGGCAAAGAUUUCUUGGACAAGACCCCAGAAACACAGGCAAUUAAAGCAAAAUAAACAAAUGGGAUUACAUCAAGCUAAGAAGCUUCCACACUACAAAAGAAAUACUCAAAGAAGUGAAGAAUCAACCUAAAGAAUGGGAGAAAAUAUUGUGAACUGAGCUGGAAUAAAAGUGGGAGUACA